GGAUUCCCCUAGUAACUGCGAGUGAAGCGGGAAAAGCUCAAAUUUAAAAUCUGUCAGUCUUUGGCUGUCCGAGUUGUAAUCUAGAGAAGUGUUAUCCGCGCUGGACCGUGUACAAGUCUCCUGGAAUGGAGCCUCAUAGAGGGUGAGAAUCCCGUCUUUGACACGGACUGCCAGGGCUUUGUGAUGCGCUCUCAAAGAGUCGAGUUGUUUGGGAAUGCAGCUCAAAAUGGGUGGUAAAUUCCAUCUAAAGCUAAAUAUUGGCGAGAGACCGAUAGCGAACAAGUACCGUGAGGGAAAGAUGAAAAGAACUUUGGAAAGAGAGUUAAACAGUACGUGAAAUUGCUGAAAGGGAAACGCUUGAAGUCAGUCGCGUUGUCCAGGGAUCAACCUUGCUUUUGCUUGGUGUACUUUCUGGUUGACGGGUCAGCAUCAAUUUUGACUAUUGGAAAAAAGUUGAGGGAAUGUGGCAUCUUCGGAUGUGUUAUAGCCCUUGGUUGCAUACAAUAGUUGGGAUUGAGGAACUCAGCACGCUGCAAAGCCGGGGUAUUUGCCCACGUACGUGCUUAGGAUGCUGGCAUAAUGGCUUUAAUCGACCCGUCUUGAAACACGGACCAAGGAGUCUAACAUGCCUGCGAGUAUUUGGGUGGAAAACCCGAGUGCGUAAUGAAAGUGAAAGUUGAGAUCCCUGUCGUGGGGAGCAUCGACGCCCGGACCAGACCUUUUGUGACGGUUCCGCGGUAGAGCAUGUAUGUUGGGACCCGAAAGAUGGUGAACUAUGCCUGAAUAGGGUGAAGCCAGAGGAAACUCUGGUGGAGGCUCGUAGCGAUUCUGACGUGCAAAUCGAUCGUCAAAUUUGGGUAUAGGGGCGAAAGACUAAUCGA
RNAcentral lists this ribosomal RNA (881 nucleotides) under Phlegmacium cumatile. RNAcentral's name for it is "eukaryotic LSU rRNA". It matches the Rfam family "Eukaryotic large subunit ribosomal RNA", at positions 72 to 938 of the family's 3401-position model. The record is from RNAcentral. Lineage: Eukaryota; Fungi; Basidiomycota; Agaricomycetes; Agaricales; Cortinariaceae.